RNAcentral lists this ribosomal RNA (253 nucleotides) under uncultured bacterium. RNAcentral's name for it is "partial 16S ribosomal RNA". It matches the Rfam family "Bacterial small subunit ribosomal RNA", at positions 524 to 776 of the family's 1533-position model. The record is from RNAcentral.
UACGUAGGGGGCAAGCGUUGUUCGGAAUUACUGGGCGUAAAGGGCGCGUAGGCGGCAUGGCAAGUCAGGAGUGAAAGGCCUGGGCUCAACCGAGGAACUGCUUUUGAUACUGCCAAGCUAGAGUGCGGAAGGGGCAACUGGAAUUCCCAGUGUAGCGGUGAAAUGCGUAGAUAUCGGGAAGAACACCAGUGGCGAAAGCGCUCUACUGGGCCAUAACUGACACUGAGGGACGAAAGCUAGGGGAGCGAAAGGG